AUAUGAGCGAUGACAAGAGAAAGUACAUGGAUGGAACCUCCAAAGAGAGCCCCGAUGGUGGAAACGGGCGUGGGAAUUCCAUGGAAGUGCCUCUUCGAGCCGGCCAGCUGAACCCAAGUAAGCGGCCCGGGAUCACCCGUUACAGUGGCUGAGUCUUUUUGACUUACCAAGGCUUUUGCGGCAACGCAGGGGCGAAAUUGGGUGGAACACGGAAAAUCCCGUCCCUUUG
Molecule: non-coding RNA, 229 nt
Filed under: Dialister sp.
Lineage: Bacteria; Bacillati; Bacillota; Negativicutes; Veillonellales; Veillonellaceae
Description: T-box sequence
Rfam family: T-box leader
About the family: Uncharged tRNA acts as the effector for transcription antitermination of genes in the T-box leader family. T-boxes are found upstream of many aminoacyl-tRNA synthetase genes and some amino acid biosynthetic genes usually in Gram-positive bacteria.
Source: RNAcentral